GCCGCCGCCCGCCUCCGCCCGUGCUAGCGCUGCUCUCUCGCCCUGGCCGGCACCCCCGCAGUUGCUCCAGGCCGCUCACUUGGGACGUGCUACUGUGUCAGGCUCUGGAAAUGUCAGUCAUUUGUGUGUUUCAGGUGUACUUUUGUAAUUGUGUAUGUGAGAGGUAUUUAUGUAACUGUCUGCCUCUCAGGAAGUAGGAGAACUAGAAGAUACUAUGAUCUCAAAAAGAAAGAAAGAGACAAAGGUAAACAGAGCUUAGCUAGAAUCAGGUAAGGAAUAUGUGCUUACCUCCGUGAAUCAUUGUAGAAAUGUGAUUUUCCCCUUGCCAUCAAGCUUGUUUUCUGGAUGGCUGCUGCCAUGGGAAUCAAAUGAGAUCUUUGCAGUAAGGACUAAAGUGAUUCCCAUUGAAGUUUUCUGCACAGCAGAUAGUGAGUGUGUAAUAUUAUUUACCUCUAUCUGCUGCUUACAAGAGCUUUGGCCAGAGAACAUCUCCCAACUGUCUGAUAUUAUUUACACUGUCCGUGUGAUCUUUCUCUCUUCUCUGGCAGGAGACUCGGGAGUCUGUAGAACAGCUCUUCUGCUUUCUUUUGUCCCCUGUAUUUCCUAUCAUGGAGGCAAUAACCUGGAAAUCUUUGCUAGUGAUUGCAGUGGUAAGCCUUAGACCUUUGGUGAUCCCUGCCAGUAUCCCUGAUUUGGGGUAUUUAAACUCCUAAUUUAACGUGUUUUGUGGGAUGAGUACUCUAGUCUGGGCACUGCCUAUGAGCUUCCUUUGUAAAGGCGCCUCUUCAGUCAACCGGCACUCAAGAUGGAGCCGUAGGGAUGCCCUCCUCCCUAUGGCUGUGAUGUCUGGCAGGACUGGCUCGAGCUAGGAGAGGAAACAACCCUUAGUAAAGGCCUUUUCUUUCCUCCUUCAGGUCAGGGGCUAAAAGUUUGAAAUGCUACAUGUGAAGGGCUUUUGUUGUUUGUAAAUUUUUAAAUGUAAACUUGUCUAUUUUAUUGCUAAUUUAAAAAUAAAUGACUUUAUAUUGAUUGCAAAACU
This 1039-nucleotide long non-coding RNA is filed under the name Rattus norvegicus (Norway rat). Its description in RNAcentral is "long non-coding RNA NONRATT003598". The record is from RNAcentral. Lineage: Eukaryota; Metazoa; Chordata; Mammalia; Rodentia; Muridae.